UUCUUCCUACGGGAGGCAGCAGUGAGGAAUAUUGGUCAAUGGGCGCAAGCCUGAACCAGCCACGUCGCGUGAGGGAUGACGGUCCUAUGGAUUGUAAACCUCUUUUGUCGGGGAGCAAGGCCCGCCACGUGUGGCGGGAAGGAGAGUACCCGAAGAAAAAGCAUCGGCUAACUCCGUGCCAGCAGCCGCGGUAAUACGGAGGAUGCGAGCGUUAUCCGGAAUUAUUGGGCUUAAAGGGGGCGUAGGCGGAAGGUUAAGUCAGCGGUCAAAUGCCGCGGCUCAACCCCGGCCUGCCGUUGGA
RNAcentral lists this ribosomal RNA (301 nucleotides) under uncultured bacterium. RNAcentral's name for it is "bacterial SSU rRNA". It matches the Rfam family "Bacterial small subunit ribosomal RNA", at positions 333 to 631 of the family's 1533-position model. The record is from RNAcentral.